RNAcentral lists this ribosomal RNA (489 nucleotides) under uncultured bacterium. RNAcentral describes it as "partial 16S ribosomal RNA". It matches the Rfam family "Bacterial small subunit ribosomal RNA", at positions 29 to 507 of the family's 1533-position model. The record is from RNAcentral.
AUGCACGCUAGCGAUAGGCUUCACCCCUGCAAGUCGAGGGGCAGCAUGGUCUUAGCUUGCUAAGACUGAUGGCGACCGGCGCACGGGUGCGUAACGCGUAUGCAACUUGCCUCACAGAGGGGGAUAACCCGUCGAAAGACGGACUAAUACCGCGUACACUCCAUCUUGGGCAUCCAAGGUAGAGGAAAUGAAAUUCGCUGUGAGAUAGGCAUGCGUCCCAUUAGCUAGUUGGUGAGGUAACGGCUCACCAAGGCGACGAUGGGUAGGGGAACUGAGAGGUUGAACCCCCACACUGGUACUGAGACACGGACCAGACUCCUACGGGAGGCAGCAGUGAGGAAUAUUGGUCAAUGGGCGAGAGCCUGAACCAGCCAAGUCGCGUGAAGGAUGACUGUCUUAUGGAUUGUAAACUUCUUUUAUACGGGAAUAACAAGAGUCACGUGUGACUCCCUGCAUGUACCGUAUGAAUAAGCAUCGGCUAACUCCGUG